CGUUUUCUGCGGUGCGCGCCAGCGCACUCUAACAUUUGCCUUGUUCCUAAAUACGGCCCCGGGUCGGCCUCACAUCGAUUGUUGUGCAUGUCCGCUGCGUGCGGAAAGCCUCGAGAUCAUGUUCGCCCUCCCACCUGAUCCAGUCUGGAUCAAGGUCGUUUGGUGAGCAGCGGCACCGUGGUUUACGC
This 188-nucleotide non-coding RNA is filed under the name Lasius niger. RNAcentral describes it as "6S / SsrS RNA". It matches the Rfam family "6S / SsrS RNA". Rfam says of the family: E. coli 6S RNA was the first non coding RNA to be sequenced, but its function was unknown until recently. It consists of 184 nucleotides that fold into an extended hairpin structure with a large single-stranded internal bulge. The 6S RNA specifically associates with RNA polymerase holoenzyme containing the sigma70 specificity factor. The record is from Rfam by way of RNAcentral. Lineage: Eukaryota; Metazoa; Arthropoda; Insecta; Hymenoptera; Formicidae.